Long non-coding RNA from Branchiostoma belcheri (Belcher's lancelet), 494 nucleotides. RefSeq lists it as uncharacterized. The record is from RefSeq and is a predicted model, not a curated record. NCBI's taxonomy places the organism in Eukaryota, Metazoa, Chordata, Leptocardii, Amphioxiformes, Branchiostomatidae. The transcript has 6 exons.
UGCUGGAGGACCAAGUUUGGAGAAGACACCGACACCUCCGUUCCUGCAAAGAUGUCGCGUAAAUCCACUGCCAUCCUGUCUCCAGCCGACUUGUAUCCCACCUAGGAUGAAGAAAUCACCAACUAGAAUGUAUAUUGUGAACGCUGACGGGGUAAUUUUCAGGGAAUACUUCACAAACUGCGCUGCGCUACUCUACCCACGUGGUAUGUAGAGAUGGGACCCCAAAGUGCAACGUGACUGAUUUGAGCAGACGAGGGCCAUUCAGUCCAUGCUGUUGCGGUAAAACUCCCUGUGCAGAAAUUUUCAUAAGGUCUGUGCAGGGAAUGCCAGCUUCAGACAGCAUGCAGACGACUAACUCUGCACCUCAAGAAAAAAAUCACAACACGAACUACUGUGACCCAUGAUGUGUGGACCCACCAGAAUGAUCUUGGGGAGGAGGCAGAUCGGGCGUUGUGUGUGUGUGGACAGUUGUGGUGGUAGGUGGUUCUUUUCAU